RNAcentral lists this ribosomal RNA (301 nucleotides) under uncultured bacterium. RNAcentral's name for it is "partial 16S ribosomal RNA". It matches the Rfam family "Bacterial small subunit ribosomal RNA", at positions 509 to 807 of the family's 1533-position model. The record is from RNAcentral.
CAGUAGCCGCGGUAAUACAGAGGGUGCGAGCGUUAAUCGGAUUUACUGGGCGUAAAGCGUGCGUAGGCGGCUUCUUAAGUCGGGUGUGAAAUCCCUGAGCUUAACUUAGGAAUUGCAUUCGAUACUGGGAAGCUAGAGUAUGGGAGAGGAUGGUAGAAUUCCAGGUGUAGCGGUGAAAUGCGUAGAGAUCUGGAGGAAUACCGAUGGCGAAGGCAGCCAUCUGGCCUAAUACUGACGCUGAGGUACGAAAGCAUGGGGAGCAAACAGGAUUAGAGACCCCUGUAGUCCCUGUCUCUUAUAC